GGCGGCGUGCUUAAUACAUGCAAGUCAACUUGACUUUAGAUAGCAAGUAUCGAAAGUAGGGUGGCGCACGGGUGCGUAACGCGUAGGUAAUCUGCCCUGAGGUCUGACAUAACCCGUCGAAAGGCGGGCUAACAUCAGACGAUAUAUAAUCACGACAUCGUGGAAAUAUCAAAUCUUCGGAGCCUUGGGAUGAGCCUGCGUCUGAUUAGGUAGUUGGCGGAGUAAUAGCCCACCAAGGCCUACGAUCAGUAGCUGGUCUGAGAGGAUGAUCAGCCACACUGGAACUGAGACACGGUCCAGACUCCUACGGGAGGCAGCAGUAAGGAAUAUUGCUCAAUGGGGGGAAACCCUGAAGCAGCAACGCCGCGUGAAGGAUGAAAUACUUUUGUAUGUAAACUUCUGUAAGAUGGGAAAAAUAUUCUCCUCGGGAGAAUUGAUUGUACCAUCAGAGUAAGCCCCGGCUAACUACGUG
This 472-nucleotide ribosomal RNA is filed under the name uncultured bacterium. RNAcentral's name for it is "bacterial SSU rRNA". It matches the Rfam family "Bacterial small subunit ribosomal RNA", at positions 38 to 507 of the family's 1533-position model. The record is from RNAcentral.